This is a non-coding RNA of Biomphalaria pfeifferi, 988 nucleotides long. NCBI's taxonomy places the organism in Eukaryota, Metazoa, Mollusca, Gastropoda, Planorbidae. The record is from the annotation of a GenBank genome assembly.
UUUUUUUUUUUUGUUUUUUGAUUUAUUGAAUGAACAAAGAAAAGACAAAAAAUCUCAUCCAACUGAUAUCAGACAUACACUGAAACAACAAAAAUAUAACAAUUUAUCAAAUUUAAAGGAACCUGUUACAUAUUUUUAACAUUAAUAGUCAAAUGUACAAAACGGCUCAAAUUCUCACUAGUUUAAUGCUUUGUAAUGCCUGGCCUGGCAUUGAAUUAUUAAGGCUCACUCAAAAUAGAAUCUUUAGAUGUAUGUUAUUUAAACCAUAGCUUUUUUUUUUUGACUGGAAAAUAGUUUCAAAACAAUAUGGACAAUGAUAAAAAAAAAUUUGACCAGUACAGGGUCUCAAUAAAAAAAAUGAACUAAUAGGCCUGCACAUGAAUUAUUCCCAAGUAAAUAGAAGAGAAACAUUAAUUCUAUUAGCUAUUCUUUGUAAAGAAAAACAACCAUAACCAUAUCAUUAUGAACUUUGAACUGAUCUACAUUCUGACAUACUUUGAAGCAAAUAUCAACUAUUAAAUGAUUACAGGUCAAGUUUGUCUGAAGAGCCCUGAUAUUUUUUUUUACUUCUUUGACCUAUUUGUGAGAAGCAGGAUUUUGGUUUUAUUUUGUUGCAACAUAGUCAAAGUAUAAUUCUAGAACCAGAUAUUAAAAUUAGCUUGUCAACAAACAGAUAUACACAAGUCUACACAAUACCAUCAAAGUCAUUAAGCCUUCAUUUUUCUGAUGCUUAUGUCUGUAUAUUUUAUUCUGGUCUUCUACAACACAAAAAAUAAUAAAAUUUAAUGAAAUCAUUUUCAGUAUUACUGGUAUUAAAUAUAAAUAAAAAAUCUUUUUUUUUUUUAAAGUUUGUCUUGUCCAGCUUAAGAGAUGUUGCCCUUUUUGCUAAGUUAUUGAUCUCUCACUGUUAAAUUGAUUGUUUGGUCAUUUGGUUCAGCCAUGUACUCAGUAAUUGUUAAAGUUCUUAUCACAGUCAAAUAAUAAAUCA